CCGGCCUUGUACACACCGCCCGUCACACCACGAAAGUCGGCAAUACCCGAAGCCGGUGUGCUAACCGCAAGGAGGCAGCCGUCGAAAGGUAGGGUCGGUGAUUGGGGUG
RNAcentral lists this ribosomal RNA (109 nucleotides) under uncultured bacterium. RNAcentral describes it as "partial 16S ribosomal RNA". It matches the Rfam family "Bacterial small subunit ribosomal RNA", at positions 1375 to 1482 of the family's 1533-position model. The record is from RNAcentral.